GCUUUCGUAGUUUAUAAAAAUAUUGGUCUUGUAAGCCAAAGUAGGCUUAGGUCCUGAAGCA
RNAcentral lists this transfer RNA (61 nucleotides) under Polyphemus pediculus. RNAcentral describes it as "tRNA-Thr". Lineage: Eukaryota; Metazoa; Arthropoda; Branchiopoda; Diplostraca; Polyphemidae. The record is from RNAcentral.